CCGCGGGAUUAGAGUUUGAUCCUGGCUCAGAGCGAACGCUGGCGGCAGGCCUAAUACAUGCAAGUCGAACGGAUCCUUCGGGAUUAGUGGCGGACGGGUGAGUAACACGUGGGAACGUGCCCUUUGGUUCGGAACAACUCAGGGAAACUUGAGCUAAUACCGGAUGUGCCCUUCGGGGGAAAGAUUUAUCGCCAUUGGAGCGGCCCGCGUCUGAUUAGCUAGUUGGUGGGGUAAAGGCCUACCAAGGCUACGAUCAGUAGCUGGUCUGAGAGGAUGAUCAGCCACACUGGGACUGAGACACGGCCCAGACUCCUACGGGAGGCAGCAGUAGGGAAUCUUGCGCAAUGGGCGAAAGCCUGACGCAGCCAUGCCGCGUGAAUGGUGAAGGUCUUAGGAUUGUAAAAUUCUUUCAGCGGGGACGAUAAUGACGGUACCCGCAGAAGAAGCCCCGGCUAACUUCGUGCCAGCAGCCGCGGUAAUACGAAGGGGGCUAGCGUUGCUCGGAAUUACUGGGCGUAAAGGGCGCGUAGGCGGAUGUUUAAGUCAGAGGUGAAAGCCCAGGGCUCAACCUUGGAACUGCCUUUGAUACUGGACAUCUUGAGUACGGGAGAGGUGAGUGGAACUCCGAGUGUAGAGGUGAAAUUCGUAGAUAUUCGGAAGAACACCAGUGGCGAAGGCGACUCACUGGCCCGUUACUGACGCUGAGGCGCGAAAGCGUGGGGAGCAA
RNAcentral lists this ribosomal RNA (727 nucleotides) under uncultured Alphaproteobacteria bacterium. RNAcentral describes it as "bacterial SSU rRNA". It matches the Rfam family "Bacterial small subunit ribosomal RNA", at positions 1 to 771 of the family's 1533-position model. Lineage: Bacteria; Pseudomonadati; Pseudomonadota; Alphaproteobacteria. The record is from RNAcentral.